AUACUUACCUGGCAGCGGAGAUACCAUGAUCACGAAGGUGGUUUUCCCAGGGUGAGGCUCAUCCAUUGCACUCCGGAUGUGCUGACCCCUGCGAUUUCCCCAAAUGCCGGAAACUCGACUGCAUAAUUUGUGGUAGUGGGGGACUGCGUUCGCGCUUUUCCCUG
Molecule: small nuclear RNA, 164 nt
Organism: Cavia porcellus (domestic guinea pig)
Lineage: Eukaryota; Metazoa; Chordata; Mammalia; Rodentia; Caviidae
Gene: U1
Rfam family: U1 spliceosomal RNA
About the family: U1 is a small nuclear RNA (snRNA) component of the spliceosome (involved in pre-mRNA splicing). Its 5' end forms complementary base pairs with the 5' splice junction, thus defining the 5' donor site of an intron.
Source: Ensembl